UGGGCGCAAGCCUGAGCAGCACGCCGCGUGGGGGAUGAAGGCCUUCGGGUUGUAAACCCCUUUCAGGAGGGAAGAAAUUGACGGUACCUCCAGAAGAAGCACCGGCCAACUACGUGCCAGCAGCCGCGGUAAU
RNAcentral lists this ribosomal RNA (133 nucleotides) under uncultured Actinomycetes bacterium. RNAcentral's name for it is "uncultured actinobacterium partial 16S ribosomal RNA". It matches the Rfam family "Bacterial small subunit ribosomal RNA", at positions 372 to 524 of the family's 1533-position model. The record is from RNAcentral. Lineage: Bacteria; Bacillati; Actinomycetota; Actinomycetes.